UGGGGAAUCUUGCGCAAUGGGCGAAAGCCUGACGCAGCAACGCCGCGUGCGGGAUGAAGGCCUUCGGGUUGUAAACCGCUUUCAGCAGGGAAGAAAUUGACGGUACCUGCAGAAGAAGCCCCGGCCAACUACGUGCCAGCAGCCGCGGUAACACGUAGGGGGCGAGCGUUGUCCGGAUUUAUUGGGUGUAAAGGGCAGGUAGGCGUCCUUGCAAGUUUUGGGUGAAAUCCUAAGGCUCAACCUUAGAACUGCCUAAAAAACUGCGAGGAUUGAGGCUAGAAGAGGAGAGCGGAAUUCCCGGUGUAAGGGUGAAAUCUGUAGAUAUCGGGAGGAACACCAGUGGCGAAAGCGGCUCUCUAGUCUGGAUCUGACGCUAAACUGCGAAAGCUAGGGGAGCAAACAGG
Molecule: ribosomal RNA, 404 nt
Filed under: uncultured bacterium
Lineage: Bacteria
Description: bacterial SSU rRNA
Rfam family: Bacterial small subunit ribosomal RNA
Source: RNAcentral